This 435-nucleotide ribosomal RNA is filed under the name Biosteres carbonarius. Its description in RNAcentral is "partial 16S ribosomal RNA". The record is from RNAcentral. Lineage: Eukaryota; Metazoa; Arthropoda; Insecta; Hymenoptera; Braconidae.
GUCUUAAAGAAAUUAAUUUUAAGUCAAAUCUGCCCUAUGAUUUAUAAAAUUAAAUGGCUGCCGAAUUUAUAACUGUACAAAGGUAGCCUAAUAAUUUGUUUUUUAAUUAAAAACUAGAAUGAAUGAUUUAAUGAAAUAUAAACUGUCUCCAUUAAAUAAAUUUUAAAUUUUUAUUUAAGUAAAAAAACUUAAAUUAUUUUAAAAGACGACAAGACCCUAUAGAAUUUUAUUUAUUUACUAAAAUUAAAAUUAAAUUUAAUUAUUUAUUUUUUUAAAUAAAUUUAAUUGGGGUAAUUUAAAAAUUUAAAAAAUUUUUUUUUUAUAAAACAAUAAUUAUUGAAUAAAAAAACUUAAAAAUUUAAAUUAUUAAAAUUAAUUACCUUAGGGAUAACAGCAUAAUUUUUUUUAAAAGAUCAUAUUUAUAAAAAAGAUUAU